AAGGCUUAAAUGGGAAAUGACAGGUUUAGAAAUAGACUUUUCUUCGGACAUUUUUCAAGGUGCUGCAUGGUUGUCGUCAGCUCGUGCCGUGAGGUGUUAGGUUAAGUCCUGCAACGAGCGCAACCCCUGUCACUAGUUGCCAUCAUUAAGUUGGGGACUCUAGUGAGACUGCCUACGCAAGUAGAGAGGAAGGUGGGGAUGACGUCAAAUCAUCAUGGCCCUUACGAGUAGGGCUACACACGUGCUACAAUGGCGCAUACAAAGAGAAGCGACCUCGCGAGAGCAAGCGGACCUCAUAAAGUGCGUCGUAGUCCGGAUUGGAGUCUGCAACUCGACUCCAUGAAGUCGGAAUCGCUAGUAAUCGUAGAUCAGAAUGCUACGGUGAAUACGUUCCC
Molecule: ribosomal RNA, 395 nt
Filed under: uncultured bacterium
Lineage: Bacteria
Description: bacterial SSU rRNA
Rfam family: Bacterial small subunit ribosomal RNA
Source: RNAcentral